GAUGAACGCUGGCGGCGUGCCUAAUACAUGCAAGUCGAGCGAACAGAUGAGGAGCUUGCUCCUCUGACGUUAGCGGCGGACGGGUGAGUAACACGUGGAUAACCUACCUAUAAGACUGGGAUAACUUCGGGAAACCGGAGCUAAUACCGGAUAAUAUAUUGAACCGCAUGGUUCAAUAGUGAAAGACGGUUUUGCUGUCACUUAUAGAUGGAUCCGCGCCGCAUUAGCUAGUUGGGAAGGUAACGGCUUACCAAGGCAACGAUGCGUAGCCGACCUGAGAGGGGGAUCGGCCACACUGGAACUGAGACACGGUCCAGAGUCCUACGGGAGGCAGCAGUAUGGAAUCUUCCGCAAUGGGCGAAAGCCUGACGGAGCAACGCCGCGUGGGUGAUGAAGGUCUUCGGAUCGUAAAACUCUGUUAUUAGGGAAGAACAAAUGUGUAAGUAACUAUGCACGUCUUGACGGUACCUAAUCAGAAAGCCACGGCUAACUACGUG
RNAcentral lists this ribosomal RNA (497 nucleotides) under uncultured bacterium. RNAcentral describes it as "partial 16S ribosomal RNA". It matches the Rfam family "Bacterial small subunit ribosomal RNA", at positions 28 to 507 of the family's 1533-position model. The record is from RNAcentral.